RNAcentral lists this long non-coding RNA (748 nucleotides) under Sus scrofa (pig). RNAcentral describes it as "lncRNA (ENSSSCG00070024710.1)". Lineage: Eukaryota; Metazoa; Chordata; Mammalia; Artiodactyla; Suidae. The record is from RNAcentral.
GUAUUACACCUUUACCACGUACAUUAUUAUUCCAAGCUCUCAAAAGAAUCCUCAACACAAACCCAGGAAACAGGUGCAGUCUUUAUUUUGCAAAUGAGGAGACUGAAGCACAAAGAGGGUGUGGCUUUCAGCCCUUGCUGUUCUUGUACUGAUCACUUGCCAUACAGGCAUAUCAGGCAGGACAUAGAACCUAGAGGCCACUGAGACCAGUAGCCGGGAGGAGAAAUAUAUAUUUUAAAAUGCACGGAAGACACAGAGAAGAAAACAAGGCUACCCAAAUCUGACGAUGCAGCCUCUUCUGGGAAGCAUGAUUUGUCUCCAAGACUGACCUCCUUCCAGUGCGUGUCCUUGGUGUGUGGACCACCAUCCAAGUAUUUAUUGAGAAGACACUAUGUCUUAGGCCCUUUGCCUGGUGUUGAAAAUGCAGCUGGGAUCAAGACAGACACAUCACUUUAUGAGAUGGGAGAAAACAACCAUUUCCACUGGAGUCAGGUAAAGACUGCAGUUUUUCUGCCAAGAAAAGAAAAGAUUACAGAGGGAAAAAAAAGAAGACAGGAGGAUCCUUUGUUCUUGAAAAGAGACUUGAGAAAUUACUGCCUCACAACAUCACACAGCUGUUUUAAACAACAUCUGAUGGAAUUGUUGCUGGUUGUAUUAAAAAAUAAUUGAGGAGGUUUUUCCCUUUUUUGUGUAAAAGUGAUCCUAUUUCUUCUAUAAAUGUUUAAGAGAAUUUAUGGCAAAGCCAUCU